UACCUACUAUAUUAGAUGAUGACUUACCUCCAAAACGCUUUAAAACUUUCGUUUAUAAUUCUAAGUGUGCUUAUAAUUAAAGAGCUACAGUGAAAUAAAAUGAAUUCUUCAAGAAAGGCAGCACCCAUGACAAAAGAUGAGACGAUGAUUCUAGCAGAACUUGUGGCGGCGAAAAAACAUUUCAAUAAUAAGGCAACAAAUGCCACAAACAAUAAAUUGAAGGAGCAGGCUUGGCAAACCCUUGUAAAUGAUUUUAAUUCGUCGAUUCGUCGUUUCCCACGAACUCCAUCGCAGCUUCGACUAAAAUGGGAAAACUUAAAGAACGCUACGGCAACAUAAGAAACAACCUUAGUAAGGCUGGAGGUGGUAAGGAUUGCAGAUGAAAUUUUGGAUAAAGCAUGCACAUUGUUGUAGGUCACAUAUAAUAUUUUUAACACUUUUACAGCCAAGCGGAAACAAGAUGGAAGAAAAGAAAUGCAAGGCUAGCAUAGGGACAAUGCAUUAGCAGAAUAUCUAAUAGCAAAAAAGAGACUUGACUUGGAAAAUAAAGAAAAGGAGAUUGUUGUAGCAAAAGUUAAGUUAGAUUUAGAUAAUUUAAAAAAUUAAAAAUUACUUAAAAGGAAUAUUAAAUUUCAUAAAUUAAGUAGGCAAUAAUAAUUUUAUGUUAGAUAGUUUUUUAAGUAUAUGUACAAAUUCUAAAUUAAAUAUCUUGCAUGUACUAACUACCAUGUAAUUAUCAUUUUGGAAAAUAAAAAAUAGUCAAAUUAUCUUUGGAGUUUAUUUUAUAAAUUAUCUUUGGAAGCAAUUAUUUAUAAGUACAUAGUUGUAUUUCAGAUGUAAGUUUUGAAAAAUUGUUACGAACAAUUAUAUUAUUUUCCUGUAAUGUAUCUGCGACUGAAAUUUCUGAUUCUAAUUCUUCUAAAUUCAUACUUCUGACGAUAUUAUGCAGCAUGGCAGCUAUAAUAACAGCUUGCAUAUUUUCUAGUUUUAAUCUACUUUUCAAUGAUAUACAGGGAGUCUUCUUUUACAAA
Molecule: long non-coding RNA, 1031 nt
Filed under: Bombyx mandarina (wild silkworm)
Lineage: Eukaryota; Metazoa; Arthropoda; Insecta; Lepidoptera; Bombycidae
Description: uncharacterized LOC114240195
Source: RNAcentral